UGGGAUGAUGAAUUAAUUACCUUGAAUGGUCCUUCCCAUUUGCUCCGGAGUUUUCCAUGCCCGAAAAACUUCACCCUAGAAUUAAAAAGUAAUACCUUAUCUCUGGGUGUGAACUCCUUCUUCUUGAUUCUCUUGUCAUGCCACCUUUUGACUCUUUCUUUGUAGAUCUUUGAAUUGUGAUAUGCCUUCUCUCGCCAUUCUUCCA
Molecule: long non-coding RNA, 205 nt
Filed under: Sorghum bicolor (sorghum)
Lineage: Eukaryota; Viridiplantae; Streptophyta; Magnoliopsida; Poales; Poaceae
Description: long non-coding RNA (SBIC_LNC017759)
Source: RNAcentral